RNAcentral lists this ribosomal RNA (208 nucleotides) under uncultured bacterium. RNAcentral's name for it is "partial 16S ribosomal RNA". It matches the Rfam family "Bacterial small subunit ribosomal RNA", at positions 524 to 729 of the family's 1533-position model. The record is from RNAcentral.
UACGGAGGGAGCUAGCGUUGUUCGGAAUUACUGGGCGUAAAGCGCGCGUAGGCGGCUUUGUAAGUUAGAGGUGAAAGCCCGGAGCUCAACUCCGGAACUGCCUUUAAAACUGCAUCGCUUGAAUCCAGGAGAGGUGAGUGGGAAUUCCGAGUGUAGAGGUGAAAUUCGUAGAUAUUCGGAAGAAACACCAGUGGCGAAGGCGGCUCAC